Molecule: long non-coding RNA, 5986 nt
Filed under: Lathyrus oleraceus (garden pea)
Lineage: Eukaryota; Viridiplantae; Streptophyta; Magnoliopsida; Fabales; Fabaceae
Description: Pisum sativum (pea) long non-coding RNA (PSAT_LNC031987)
Source: RNAcentral
UGGAUCAAGGGUUUGCUUAUUGAUUGUGAAAGAGUGAUCACUCCUAAUGCCUAAGGAUAGCUAGCAAGCAAUAAUAAAGAAAGCAAGUAAAACAUACAUCGGAAAGGGGAGGGGGUACAUGCAAAGUACAAGGGAGUGCAGCAAAUAAAAAGUCUCAUUGUCAGGUACCCCAAGAGAAAGCCUUGUGUAUGCAAUUGUGUCCUAAACUAGAAAGCACAUAAAUGAUUACAAUUUCUUGAGUCUUGAAUGUUGCUUCCAUGUUCGGCUCAAAUAAUAGUCCAAAGUCUUUUGCAAGGAUCCUAAUGAGAAGUCCCUAAGUCCAUUAUCCAAAGUUAUUUCCAUGCAUGGGAAUUAUCUUCUUUUUGUAUUUUUUAAGUCUUUACCAUUUUUAGGUUCAUUUUAAGAUGAGAUGUACAAUAUGGAAUAUAAAGCAAAAUAAAGCAAAGUAAGUAAAUGACAAAAAUUAAAUGUUAGAAGUUAAGUACAGAAAAGUAAAGAGUUAGAAGCGGAAAUAAAAAAAUUAGAUGUUAGAAUGCGGAAAUAAAAGGAAUUAGAUGUUAAUUGUUAGAUGUUAGAUCAAAGUAGAAUAAUAUUCAAGAAAAAAAUUAUCCAACUAUCAAUUCUAAAAUAUUAACAAAAUAAAAUCCAAAACAAUAGUAUAUGGCUUAGUUUUGUUAAUGAAGAGAAAGUCAAGAUAUUAUAUGAUACAGUUCUCUAAAGUCUCAUAUGGCUUAGUUUUGUGAGAAAAAGGAGUACAAGACUAUAUAGGAUUCAAGUUCUUCAUUCCAAGAUGCACCAGUCAAAAACACUUUAAGCUUGUAUUUGACUUUCCUAUUAUCAUGUACUCUUGUAUUAGAGUGUUGUGAGAUGUGGUUAAAUAUUAUUUUUUUCCAACAAUGUUCAAGACAUUGCCAACCUAUCAAUCUACAAGAAAUAUAUGGAUCUGCGUGAAACUCUCACACUAGUUAAUCAAAAUACGAACGACACAAAUAUAUAUCUUGGAUGCUACGUUGAGAAUGAAAACAUUUACAAUAAAAACAUUAAGAUUAAAAAAGUGAAACUUAAGAAGUGUGGAAACUGUUGAAAAAGAAUUACAAAUGUGAGUAGUGUGAGGAAGUCCCACAUUGUGUUAGAAAUGGAGAGACUUGAGCUUUAUAAGUGGGAGACUCACAAACAUAUCACCUUAAGGUUUUGGUGAAUAUGGUGUGUAUCUCUCACAAGGUGUGUUGCUCUUAAAAAUAAAAGCUCCAAAGUCAAAAUGCUCCCUCGUAUUGACCCCCCCCCGAAUAAGCCCAACAGAGUAUCAUGAUCUUUGGUUCGAGUGAACGAUCGACUUACUUGUAUCGAAAUUCUAGUAGGUAGAGGCGGCCCGUUUGAAAAGUGUCAACGACGAUACAAGUGUAUGUGGAUAAAAAGAAUUUCACUUGAAGAGAUCACUAUGGAUAAACUUGCACUUAGGGGAAGUGUUGAAAAAGAAUUACAAGUGCGAGUCGUGUGGGAAAGUCCCACAUUGAUUAGACAUGUGGAGACUUGAGAAUUUAUAAGUGAGAGAAUCCACACACAUAUACACUUAAAUUUUAGGUGAAUGUGUGGUGUGUUCCUCACAUUGUGUGUCGCUCUUUAAAGAAAAAGUUCCAAAUAAAAAUUGCUCCCUUGUAUUGACUCUUCCGAUAGUCCAAACAAAAAUAUCUCUAUAAUGUAUUGUAGUGUAAAAAAAUCUUAAUUCAAGAUUAAUAUUUCUUAUAUAAUAUCUUAUAUGAUAAAUUUUCUUAACGUUAUAUAAAUGCUUCUGAAUUUUCCAACAAAUAUAUAUUUAUAAUAUUAAUGAGAAUAAUAGAAAAUAAAGAAAAUUAUAUAUAUUAGUUAUUAGCUUUUUAUUUAUAAACAAUGUUUUUUAGGAUCGGUAAAUAGUUUUUCAUCAAUAAUAAAUCUUAUUUAACAAUAUCUUUUUUUAUAAAUUUGAUUUAAGUAUAAUUUCGAUCUUCCAUUUUACUAUAUUUUAAAAUAAAUUUCAGUCCUUUAAUUAUUAAAUGUUUUCCAUGUUUCCUAUUUAUAAUAUGGAUUGAUUUUCGAUAAUAUGGUAAGUGAGAUACUAAUAUGACAUUAAAUUGAUGAAAAGAAAAUGAGUAUUCAAGUGAUAAUCCAGCUAGUAUUCAAGUGAGCAAAAUCCAGCUAGACACCAUUACUUAUGAGACACUAUCUGUCUUCGUACAACAACCUAACCUACGGUCCAAAGACGCGCGUGAGAGAGAUGCUACGACAUCAAUACACUAUCUUUAUUUCUAGUACUAGUAACACACGUGUUUGUCUAAGAAGCUUUUAUUUGAUCUUUUGACCUUACGUGGCUACCGAACAACCGUCUCCAACGGUUUUCACGUAGUCUAUAUCCGGAUGGACCCACCUCUUAAAUUCGAUACAAUCUCAAUCGUUGAUUUAUUAAUUCAUAUAAUCAUCCUCACAUGUUUAUUAGCUCUGUGCAUUGGUUUGUAGUCCUAUUUCUCUGUGCAUGGAUUCUCAACUGUUUUCACCCUGAUUGAUUAGUUGAUCAAAAGGUUGCUCAAUCCCCCUGUCUAUUCAAGUGAUCAAAAGGAUCUUGAUCACUUGAUAAGAUCAUUUCCAUGUAAUGGAUGCACUAGAUAUCAAGAUAUCAACAAGUUCAGACUUCACAUUCAAGUAAAUACAAGUCAACAUUACAGACAGACUAGAUUACUAUUCAAGCACUACAAAGGUUCUUCUUCAACAUACUUACAAUUAUGAUACGAAUUGGUACCACAAGCUUUAAGCAAUGAAGAAUGAUGAGAUAGAUUUUCCAAUCCUGUUUAGACUACCUUUGAGUACGGGGCGUAUGCCCUAGCUACUCAAAGUAUUUCUCCAUUCAUAGACUUUAGUGCGAUUCAAGUCUAACAAUUGUUAAGUACUCUUCCACACAGAUGUUGCAUGCAGAUUGGAGAUCAAGAUCUCAACCUCUAGGGUUUCUCUUUUCCUUUUCUUCUAUUUCCCUUUAAGACUAAUACCAUUUCAUGGAUAAACUCAAAACACUUUGAAAUACGAUUAGAAUGUGCGCCACGAGCUUAAGCAAUGAAGAUGAUGACAUGGGUCAUUCAUAUCCUUGUCUAGUGUACCUUUGAGUACGGGGAUAGGCCCUAGAUACUUAAAUUAUUCGCCUUGUUCAUAGACUUUAGUAUAAAUCUAAUAAAAAAAAAUUUAUUUCAAGAAUAAAGAAACUCAACUCGUCAAAUUCAUUUUUGCUUUGGGCACCAUCUUCUUUUCAAACCUUUCAGAAAGUAUAUGUUACUUCCGUUCUACCAUGAACAAAGCUUAGUCUCCCAUGCAUGAGCAUACAAGUAGUGUUUAAUUGCUAGAGUGUGAUCCAAGCACAUCCAUUCUAUCGCAAACAACAAACUCUUAAGUCUCCCAUGCUCGAGUAUACAAAGCAUUGAUGUUUGUUAAAACGCGAACGUUAACAUUGUUCAUUAAAAACAACUAAUACAUUUGUAUUUCUACCAUGAACUACAGAGUUCUGACUUCCUAUUGCAUGAAAGAGCGGGGGAAUUGUAUGGUUCAUAAAAACUUGGUUUUCAAAACUUGUCAGUUAUGAUAAGAGUUUAAAUCAUAUUGAAAAUUGUUUUAAAUGCUAAGGAGCAGAAAAUAAAUUGCAGAAUGUAAAGUGCGAAAAAUAAAGAGUUAGGGAAAGAGAGGAACUCCAAGAGUUAUACAGGUUCAGUCCAAGAAACGACUUAGUCCUGUCCCCAAGAAUUGAUCUUAGAGUAUCCAAUAAAUUUUUAGAGGUUUUAGUAAGUAAUACUCAUGAACCCCAUUAUACAAGGAAAAUUGGUUAACUUCUGUCGCUACGCCGAAAAUACAGAGUCGCCAUCGAUUUUAUUUAUUCCAAAGGAAGGGAAAAUAUCGAGAUAACCACAGAAUGGUCAUCGCAACCACGAACAGGUUCGAAAGUCGGUUAUGCAAGGGGAAGUAUUAGCACCCCUCACAUCCAUGGUACUCCAUGGGAACCAUCUAGGAUGUUUGCGCUUGAGUGGAUGUUGUUUAUCAAAGUUUGCUUGCCAAAGGUUGCGGAGUAGAGGUAGAUUUUAAAUUAGUGUGCUCGCCAAGGAUUGGGUCCUCGUGCUACGUAUGCCACUUGUUGAAGUGAGAAAUCAAGCCCCUUAGAUCGUGGGUUUAAAAAGUGUUGUUUGUUUUGUUGAUUUUAUUACCUUGAAGAAGGGUUUUAACGCAUCGCUUAAGGCUCAAACAAAAGGUUUAAAUGCGAUGGAUUGUUUUUAGGUUUGAGAAAGGUGUUAUUGAUUCGGAUUGCACUAAAGACUAUGGAUAAAGGCGAAUACUCGAACUACCGAGUCAAACGUCUUGUGUUUGAAGUAUUCAGAACGAGUGUAGGAAAGCUCCAUUCUCAUCCUUUCUUUACCAUUUAGGCUUGUGGCAUACAAUCCUAAUCGCCAUUUAUGUGUUUUGAGUUUGAUUUGAGAAAGACCGCUGACGUUGGAUCAAGGGUUUGUUUAUUGUUUUUAUUUAAAAAGGACCGUUUUGACGUUGGAUCAAGGGUGCUUAUUGAUUGUGAAGAUGAUCACUCCUAAUGCCUAAGGAUAGCUAGCAAGCAAUAAUAAAGAAAGCAAGUAAAACAUACAUCGGAAAGGGGAGGGGGUACAUGCAAAGUACAAGGGAGUGCAGCAAAUAAAAAGUCUCAUUGUCAGGUACCCCAAGAGAAAGCCUUGUGUAUGCAAUUGUGUCCUAACUAGAAAGCACAUAAAUGAUUACAAUUUCUUUGAGUCUUGAAUGUUGCUCCAUGUUCGCUCAAAUAAUAGUCAAAGUCUUUUGCAAGGAUCCUUAUGAGAAGUCCUAAGUCCAUUAUCCAAAGUUAUUUCCAUGCAUGGGAAUUAUCUUCUUUUUGUAUUUUUUAAGUCUUUACCAUUUUAGGUUCAUUUUAAGAUGAGAUGUACAAUAGGAAUAUAAAGCAAAUAAGAAAGUAAGUAAUGACAAAAUUAAAUGUUAGAAGUAAGUUAAGACAAGUAAGAGUUAGAAGCGGAAUAAAAAUUACGAUGUUAGAUUCUGGGAAAUAAAAGGAAUUAGAUGUUAAUUGUUAGAUGUUAGAUCAAAGUAGAAUAAUAUUCAAGAAAAAAAUUAUCCAACUAUCAAUUCUAAAAUAUUAACAAAAUAAAAUCCAAAACAAUUAACCAACCAAUGAAGAUCUCACAAAUCAUUACCAGAUUAAAGUCAAAAACAACAAACGAAGAUUAGUAUCCAAAAUUAACAAUCAAUUAAUAUCUAAAAUUAUUAACCAAAAAAAAAUCCAAAAUUCACAAUCAAAUAAUAUCUUAAACAAUUAACUAACAAUUCUAAAAUCAUUAACGAAAUUAAAUUCUAAACAAUUAUCCUAAUUAAAUUCCAACAUCAUUACCAAAAUUAUUCUAAAGUUAAUAUCAACUAAAUCAAGAACAAAUCAAUAUUCUAAACUAUUCCUAGUUAAUAUUCUAAAUAAUCACUAAUUAAUUCUAAUACAAAUCCUAAAAAUAUUAAUCAAAACACAAUUAGAAUGUUAAUCAAAAUUAGAAUCUAACCAAUUGUCCAAAACAUCAUGGGCCUAGAACAGUUUCCAGCCCAAUCAGGGAGAGUGUAUGGACAAUGGAGGGAGUAUGUACAGGAGCCAGAAAAUGAUUGGGAUGGAUGAGGCCUAAGGCCUAACACGGACAUGGAAUAAUAGGAUGAAACUUCAUCCUUCAUCCUCUUCGCUCGCACGACGCAGCAACAAAGGGACAAGAAGAGAGGAAAACCAGGUCGCGCCAGACCUAGUCGUGCCGGCGACGGUGCUUACUCAAGAUGAAGCUCCAUGCAUCCUCUCCCCUUCCGCUCCCUCGACCUAACGAAAUCGAAACAAGUCUCAACCUAAUACAUCCAAGCUACGGCGACGCGACUCUUACCGGCGACAGAAGAGAAAGAUCAGAAGCUUCGGUACUCAAUGCACAAUCCAAUGAUU